This 450-nucleotide ribosomal RNA is filed under the name uncultured bacterium. RNAcentral describes it as "bacterial SSU rRNA". It matches the Rfam family "Bacterial small subunit ribosomal RNA", at positions 354 to 796 of the family's 1533-position model. The record is from RNAcentral.
GUGGGGAAUCUUGGACAAUGGGGGAAACCCUGAUCCAGCCAUGCCGCGUGUGUGAAGAAGGCCCUAGGGUUGUAAAGCACUUUCAGUAGGGAGGAAGGCUCUGGGUUAAUACCCUGGAGUACUUGACGUUACCUACAGAAGAAGCACCGGCUAAUUUCGUGCCAGCAGCCGCGGUAAUACGAAAGGUGCGAGCGUUAAUCGGAAUUACUGGGCGUAAAGCGCGCGUAGGUGGUUUGGUAAGUUGGGAGUGAAAGCCCCGGGCUCAACCUGGGAAUUGCUUUCAAAACUGCCAGGCUAGAGUGCGGUAGAGGGAGGUGGAAUUUCCGGUGUAGCGGUGAAAUGCGUAGAGAUCGGAAGGAACACCAGUGGCGAAGGCGGCCUCCUGGACUGACACUGACACUGAGGUGCGAAAGCGUGGGGAGCAAACAGGAUUAGAAACCCGAGUAGUCC